RNAcentral lists this transfer RNA (86 nucleotides) under Candidatus Saccharimonadota bacterium. RNAcentral describes it as "tRNA-Tyr". It matches the Rfam family "tRNA". Rfam says of the family: Transfer RNA (tRNA) molecules are approximately 80 nucleotides in length. The record is from RNAcentral. Lineage: Bacteria; Candidatus Saccharimonadota.
GCAGAGAUAGUGAAGCGGUCAAACACAGCAGACUGUAAAUCUGCCGGCUUAUGCCUUCGGGGGUUCGAAUCCCUCUCUCUGCACCA